AGUUCUCCUGUCGCUAUUUUGAGCAGGAAAAAUACAUAUACGACACAGAAAGAACAGAGCAUCAAAGUGUUUAUCAACGUUUAAGAAGGAAUUUCCGUUUAUCUUUACAAUGUUAACGCUGGAGGGUUUGAGAUCCUGUAUCUUGUAAAAGUUUGAUCAAGAGUCAGUGGAGGAGAUCAAACUCAUCAGAUUCUCCUGCAUCUUCAUCAUGGCUGAUUCACAAGCAUCCAGAGAUGGAGAUUUCUCUCCAGGACGCAGUUCAGUCCAGCAGAAGAGCUCAAACCCAGAGUCCAGCUGUGUGUCUGUGAAGAGUGACCGCUCUAUGGAUCAUCCACUAAACUU
Long non-coding RNA from Rhinichthys klamathensis goyatoka, 342 nucleotides. RefSeq lists it as uncharacterized. The record is from RefSeq and is a predicted model, not a curated record. Lineage: Eukaryota; Metazoa; Chordata; Actinopteri; Cypriniformes; Leuciscidae. The transcript has 3 exons.